CACAUUGGGACUGAGACACGGCCCAGACUCCUACGGGAGGCAGCAGUGGGGAAUAUUGCGCAAUGGGGGAAACCCUGACGCAGCAACGCCGCGUGAAGGAAGAAGGAUCUUGGUCUGUAAACUUCUUUAAUCUGUGAAGAAACAAAUGACGGUAGCAGAGGAAUAAGCCCCGGCUAACUACGUGCCAGCAGCCGCGGUAAUACGUAGGGGGCAAGCGUUGUCCGGAAUUACUG
RNAcentral lists this ribosomal RNA (233 nucleotides) under uncultured bacterium. RNAcentral's name for it is "partial 16S ribosomal RNA". It matches the Rfam family "Bacterial small subunit ribosomal RNA", at positions 309 to 556 of the family's 1533-position model. The record is from RNAcentral.